AAAGUCGUAACAAGGUAACCGUAGGUGAACCUGCGGUUGGAUCAUUAACAAAUACAAAAUGUCCCUUGCUGCUAUUAACAGCCUGGGCUUUUAACACCUGUGAAUGUUUAUUGUCUCUGGUGGGUUAAAAGCAGUAAAAGACGGAUGGCAUACACAUGUUUAACUACUUGUGCUUGUAGCUCGCUCUUAGCUGUGUUUCCCACUUUUUGGGAUCCACCCACCGCCAAUUUCUAAACACUAGACACUUUAUUAGCCUUUAUAUUUACUCUAGUUGAAUGAAAAAACAACUUUUGGCAACGGAUCUCUAGGCUCUU
This 314-nucleotide unclassified non-coding RNA is filed under the name Chytridiomycota sp. RNAcentral's name for it is "partial contains small subunit ribosomal RNA, internal transcribed spacer 1, and 5.8S ribosomal RNA". The stretch from base 1 to 47 matches the Rfam family "Eukaryotic small subunit ribosomal RNA", at positions 1785 to 1831 of the family's 1831-position model. The record is from RNAcentral. Lineage: Eukaryota; Fungi; Chytridiomycota.